CCAAGGCACAUUCUAUUAUUUCUAUCUUGCGCCAUACUUGCGCAGUCAUGCCGCAAUUCUCCUCUCCUCUUCACCGAAAUUUUUCUUCUCAAACCAUACGAAAAUUAAGCUUGUGUUCAAUUUUGCUUUAUCAUCAUCCUCUUUGUUAUUAACAUCAACCAUUCACAAAGAUGUAUGGCAAAAUGAAGCAGGGAGCGAGCUCAAGUGGAAAGUGUUUCCGCUCAUAUGAAAAGAAGGAUUUUUAUGCCACCUUGGUCGACAAAGGAGUUAUUCUUGAGAGGUAUUUUGUUUUUCCGUUAAGAUAACCUCCCCAAUUUGCAAGAGCGAUCCAAGAGAGGGUUUGACAGAAACUUGCUGGAAAACAAGACUUGGGUUGCGAGGAUGUGGUAAAGGAAUUUUAUGAAUAUGCAUGGGCUGAUGAUACUCUUGUUGAGUUUGAAGAACCUAUCUACACAUCGUGGUAUAGAGAAACCAAAAUAGAUUAUAAUCCUUAAGUCAUCCAAGAACUUCUAGAGCUUCCUACCAUAUAUCCUUACCAAGGAAAAAAAAAAAUUCCUAUUAUGAAUUAUUGGUAUGACCUCCACAUGCUUUAAUUCUUGAAAACAUAGCUUAUACAUGGAGUUAUUUGCGAAUC
Long non-coding RNA from Lotus japonicus, 634 nucleotides. RefSeq lists it as uncharacterized. The transcript has 2 exons. The record is from RefSeq and is a predicted model, not a curated record. NCBI's taxonomy places the organism in Eukaryota, Viridiplantae, Streptophyta, Magnoliopsida, Fabales, Fabaceae.